Molecule: transfer RNA, 68 nt
Filed under: Marmota monax (woodchuck)
Lineage: Eukaryota; Metazoa; Chordata; Mammalia; Rodentia; Sciuridae
Description: tRNA.Ala
Source: RNAcentral
GUUGUGGCUCAGUGGUACAGCGCACACCUAGCACAUGCGAGGUUCUGGGUUCGAUCCUAUGCACAACA